UAGCUCCCACGGGGGGCAGCAGUCGGGAAUAUUGCGCAAUGGAGGAAACUCUGACGCAGUGACGCCGCGUAUAGGAAGAAGGUUUUCGGGUUGUAAACUUCUUUUGACAGGGAAGAGCAGAAGACGGUACCUGUCGAAUAAGCCACGGCUAACUACGUGCCAGCAGCCGCGGUAAUACGUAGGUGGCAAGCGUUGUCCGGAUUUACUGGGUGUAAAGGGCGUGUAGCCGGGCUGACAAGUCAGAUGUGAAAUCCGGGGGCUCAACCCCCGAACUGCAUUUGAAACUGUUGGUCUUGAGUAUCGGA
This 305-nucleotide ribosomal RNA is filed under the name uncultured bacterium. Its description in RNAcentral is "bacterial SSU rRNA". It matches the Rfam family "Bacterial small subunit ribosomal RNA", at positions 333 to 653 of the family's 1533-position model. The record is from RNAcentral.